This 1278-nucleotide long non-coding RNA is filed under the name Felis catus (domestic cat). RNAcentral's name for it is "lncRNA (ENSFCAG00000041338.2)". The record is from RNAcentral. Lineage: Eukaryota; Metazoa; Chordata; Mammalia; Carnivora; Felidae.
AGCUAAUAUUUGCAUAGCCACUUUGGGCUUGAUUCAGAGUUUUAUUAAAAUUGUUUUAUUUAAUUCUUGGAAUAAUUCUGUGAAACUUACUGAAGCCACUUAGUGUAACUGAAAAAGUAUAAUCUGCUCUGGAUUGCUUGAAUUCCACCUUUGCCGCUUAACUAGUUGUGUGACCUUGGGCAAGUUAUUUAAUCUCUGAGCCUCAGUUUCCUCAACAGUAAAGUAGGGAUAAUCAUGCCCACCUUAUAGGGCUAUUGGGGGGAUUAAUGAAUAAUACACAAAUAGCUCCUGGUACAUAGUGGGAACUCAGUGAAUGUUGGUUCUCUCCUCCCCUAUUCCGGGCUGGGGCUGGUGCUCUUUUCACUAUGGCCCAGCUGUCUCAUCUUGAUGAUCACUCUAGUUUUGAGGGGCUGAUUAUAUAAAUUGUUCUCCCACAGGCCCAAGUGUGGCAGGAUGAUCCCUCUCAGCUGGAAAUCUGCUCGGUUUGCAAGUAACCCAGGCCCAGCUCCCACCUAUGUGCAGAUCAAUGGACUGGCUCUACCUGGCCUCCUUCCACACCCCUCUGAGGGCCUUUGCCAUUGGUCAGCAAUUCCCUCAGAAGGAGGUGGGCUCACCAUCAGUCUGUGUGUGCAAUGGAAAUCAGGACAAUCAUCCUGCCACAGGGGUAUGUCUCUUGUCUGCCAAUAGACCACUGUGAAAGGAUGACAUAGGAAAAUGGAGGGAGGAAACUGUACCCUGCUGCUCUUGCUGAUAUGUCUACUUCAGCAUCAAAGCACUGAGAGAGUGAGCUGUGAUCACUACAGUCUGGUGAGUCUGUUCAUGCUCAUGUAGGUGUGGUUUUUGUUAUUUUGUUUUGAGCAGAGUGGGUUUUUUUUUUUUUUUUUUUGCCAGCCUUUGAAUCUCUGAACAUCUCCUUUUAUCCUCUUGAUUUAUCCAAAGCAAAAUAAUAGAAUUGUAGCAUAGUAUAGUAGAACAGUAAUUAGACUAUGAUUCAGACAAGCCAGGUUCUAGUUUUGUAUGUUCUAUGGGCAAGCCACUUCAUCUCUAUCAAGAAGCAUUUCUAUAGCAAUUAGUCUUGGAAGAUGCUACACACGUUAGGAUCUGUGAUCCUAUAUAUUCUUUCCUUCCCUCCACCCCAAGAUUUACAAUGCACUUCAUCCCUGAUGUACUCUGAAACCUUUUGAACUUGUUUGAUCUAGAGAUUCCCAAAUUUAUUUGACCUAGGAAUCCUGUACCUGAGAACAUCAUGUUAGACCCUGGGAAAAUAUUAUCGGGUAA